This 253-nucleotide ribosomal RNA is filed under the name uncultured bacterium. Its description in RNAcentral is "partial 16S ribosomal RNA". It matches the Rfam family "Bacterial small subunit ribosomal RNA", at positions 524 to 776 of the family's 1533-position model. The record is from RNAcentral.
UACAGAGGUGGCAAGCGUUGUUCGGAAUUACUGGGCGUAAAGGGCGCGUAGGCGGCCAUCUAAGUCAGACGUGAAAUCCCCCGGCUUAACCUGGGAACUGCGUCUGAUACUGGAAGGCUUGAGUAUGGGAGAGGGAUGUAGAAUUCCAGGUGUAGCGGUGAAAUGCGUAGAUAUCUGGAGGAACACCGGUGGCGAAGGCGGCUUCCUGGACCGACACUGACGCUGAGGCGCGAAAGCUAGGGGAACAAACGGG